AGAGUUUGAUCCUGGCUCAGAUUGAACGCUGGCGGCAUGCUUUACACAUGCAAGUCGGACGGCAGCACAGAGAAGCUUGCUUCUUGGGUGGCGAGUGGCGAACGGGUGAGUAAUAUAUCGGAACGUACCGAGUAAUGGGGGAUAACUAAUCGAAAGAUUAGCUAAUACCGCAUAUUCUCUGAGGAGGAAAGCAGGGGACCUUCGGGCCUUGCGUUAUUCGAGCGGCCGAUAUCUGAUUAGCUAGUUGGUGGGGUAAAGGCCUACCAAGGCGACGAUCAGUAGCGGGUCUGAGAGGAUGAUCCGCCACACUGGGACUGAGACACGGCCCAGACUCCUACGGGAGGCAGCAGUGGGGAAUUUUGGACAAUGGGCGCAAGCCUGAUCCAGCCAUGCCGCGUGAGUGAUGAAGGCCUUAGGGUUGUAAAGCUCUUUUGUCCGGGACGAUAAUGACGGUACCGGAAGAAUAAGCCCCGGCUAACUUCGUG
Molecule: ribosomal RNA, 485 nt
Filed under: uncultured Neisseria sp.
Lineage: Bacteria; Pseudomonadati; Pseudomonadota; Betaproteobacteria; Neisseriales; Neisseriaceae
Description: bacterial SSU rRNA
Rfam family: Bacterial small subunit ribosomal RNA
Source: RNAcentral